This 813-nucleotide long non-coding RNA is filed under the name Vitis vinifera (wine grape). Its description in RNAcentral is "long non-coding RNA (VVIN_LNC005021)". The record is from RNAcentral. Lineage: Eukaryota; Viridiplantae; Streptophyta; Magnoliopsida; Vitales; Vitaceae.
GGGACAACUGCCAAUGGCUAUAAAAAAGCAUAGGCUAGUGGAUAAAGGGUUUUUUUUAGGAGGAUUGUUUUUCAUAGGGAGAGAAAAGAAGCACGGUAAAGCGAAGUAAGCGAUCUAAGACGACAUACCAACGGGGAUUUUCUUACCAGGGGGGAGUGUUUCCAAGUACGUUUUCUGUAGACCCUUCCUUCAUUCCCGUUAUCUUCUUGUUAUGUAUUGAUCUUCGCAGGAUUUUGGGUUUUGUCUCAAUGCUUGGGUGUAGAAUGACAGAGGUUAUAUGUUUGUUUGCAUUGGUACUUGAUUGCUUCUAUAGAUGUUGAUAAUUUCUUUCUUUGGAGUUCUUUAGAUAUGGUUUAGGGCUAAAAGGUUCUACAAUUUUUUUUUAUUUGUCGUGCAUUCAUGAGAACUGUGAUUGUAUUUGUUUGUUGGAAUCUACUCGUGCUCCCCUCACCAACCUAAGCCCAUGGAAUAAAAUAUGAAAUGUGGCUUCCAUUGGUUCUUCCUUUUGUUGUUUAUUUUUUUCAUGCAGAUUUUCCAGUCUUCCUCUAUUUUAUGUGGAUAUUUCGAGUAUUUCUAGCCAUGUCUGCGUCACUGAUUAUGGGGCUAGAGAAUGGCUUCUUGAUGUUGUCAAAACUUGAUGUUCAAAUUUGGAAGAAGAAAGAAGGUGCAGGGGUUUCUCGUACAACUACUUGUGUGGCACUGGUCGAAGUAUCUGUUACUGGAGAAUGAAAGAAGCAGAACAAGGGUAGAAGAACAGAAGACGACCUUCAACUUUCACGGGGUAUAUUUGUUUUGAGAUUUUCAUUCUUGUGG